Theobroma cacao (cacao) is the source of this 2593-nucleotide non-coding RNA. Lineage: Eukaryota; Viridiplantae; Streptophyta; Magnoliopsida; Malvales; Malvaceae. The record is from RefSeq and is a predicted model, not a curated record.
UUCAAUUUCCCAUAUUUUCUGGUUGGCGGCGGCGGGAAAGCAUUUCUCAGCGGCGAAAUGGCUCAACGGUGCGCCUAAGAAAUCCCGAACACCACCAUCUUUUCCAUGGCCGAGUUCCCCAAAACCCUCUCAUCAAAGCGAGUUCUCAAGCUCCUCAAAUCAGAGAAAAACGUCCAGUCUGCACUUGCUCUCUUUGACUCAGCAACUCGCCACCCGGGUUACACCCACUCACCCGACGUUUUCCACCACAUCCUACGUCGACUAGUCGACUCCAGGCUCGUUUCCCACGUUUCUAGGAUCGUCCAAGUCAUUGAAACCCAGAAAUGUAACUGCCCAGAAGACGUGGCUUUAACGGUGAUAAAAGCCUAUGCCAAAAACUCAAUGCCCGAGAAAGCAUUAGAUUCCUUUCAACGAAUGAAGCAAAUUUUUGGUUGUGAACCUGGGAUUCGAUCUUACAACACUUUACUUAACGCUUUUGCUGAGUCGAAUCGUUGGGAACAAGCUGAGUCGUUUUUUAAGUACUUUGAAACAGUGGGCGUAAAGCCAAAUUUGCAAACAUACAAUAUUUUAAUUAAGAUUGCGUGUAGAAAGGAGCAUUUUGAGAAGGCGAAGCGGUUAUUGGAUUGGAUUUGGAAAAUGGGUUUUCAUCCAAAUGUGCAAAGCUAUGGGACUUUGAUUAAUGGGCAUGUCAAAGGCGGGAAGUUGGUCGUUGCAAUGGAAGUGUUCGAUGAAAUGGUUAACAGAAAAGUGACCCCUGAUGUUAUGUGUUAUAAUCUAUUAAUUGAUGGUUUUUUCAAAAAAAGAGAUUUUGUGAAGGCAAAUGAGGUUUGGGAGAGGUUGUUGGAAGAUUCUUCUGCUUAUCCGAAUUCGGUUACUUAUAAUGUUAUGAUUAAUGGUUUGUGUAAAUGUGGCAAGUUUGAUGAGUGUUUGAGGCUAUGGGAGAGGAUGAAGAAGAAUGAAAGAGAGAAGGAUUUGUUUACUUAUAGUAGUAUGAUACAUGGAUUGUGUGAGGCAGGGAAGGUUGAUGGUGCUGAGAGAGUCUAUAAAGAGAUGGUUGAAAGUGGGGCAUUGGUUGAUGUGGUUACUUAUAAUGCAAUGCUUAGUGGGUAUUGUAAAGCUGGGAAAUUUGACGAGUGUUUUGAGUUGUGGAAGCAGAUGGAAAAGGACGGUUGUAUAAAUGUUGUUAGUUUUGAUAUAUUGAUUAGAGGGUUGUUAGAGAAUCGAAAGGUGGAUGAAGCGAUUUCUACAUGGCGGAUCUUGCCUGAGAGAGGUUGCAAUGCUGAAGCUUCAACUUACGCAGUUUUGAUUCAUGGAUUGUGUAAGAAUGGCUACUUAAAAAAAGCUUUAGAGAUAUUGAAAGAGGCUGAACUUGGGGGAAGUAAAUUGGAUAGCUUUGGAUAUUCCUCAAUAAUUGACGGGUUCUGCAAACAAGGGAAACUAGGUGAAGUAGCUGGUUUAAUCAGUCAGAUGGUUAAGUGUGGUUGUAAACUGAAUCCUUACAUUUGCAAUCCCAUGAUUCAUGGUUUUAUCCAAGCAUCCAGACUAGACGAUGCAGUUCAAUUUUUCAAGGGAAUGGACUCAAUGGGUUACUCUCCUACUGUUGCCUCAUAUAAUAUUCUCAUUUCUGGUUUGUGUAAAGCAGAAAGAUUUCGAGAGGCGUACUGCUUUCUGAAGGAAAUGUUAGAGAAAGGGUGGAAACCUGACAUGAUCACCUACAGCUCGUUGAUGAAAGGUCUUUUCCAAGGAAAGAAUGUUGACAUGGCACUCAGCUUAUGGCACCAUGUGCUUGACAAGGCCUUCAAGCCUGAUGUAAUUAUGCACAAUAUUAUCAUUCAUGGCCUUUGCUCUGUUGGCAAAGUCGAGGAUGCAUUACAGCUCUACUCAAAGAUGCGGCGAAGGAACUGUGCUCCGAAUCUUGUAACCCAUAAUACUAUCAUGGAAGGGCUUUACAAAGCUGGAGAAUAUGAGAAGGCAUCAGAGAUCUGGACCCGAAUUUCAACUGAUGGACUACAGCCAGAUAUUAUUUCUUAUAACAUUACUCUCAAGGGGCUUUGUUCUUGUGGUAACAUACAAGAUGCAGUUGGCUUCUUGGAAGAUGCUUUAGAGCGUGGAAUUCUUCCUACUGUCAUUACAUGGAACAUACUUGUCAGGGCAGUGCUUUAGGAUUUGCUUGCGGUUAAGUUCCUAUUUGUGAAAGUCAUACUCCUCUAGUUGGCGGUUCAAAAUAUUAGGCAACUCUUUGCCACCUCAAGAAUUUUGAAGACCAGUCUUUGAACUACGUAUCUUUAAGAGAGAGAUCCUAAGUUCUGGGAUCAAGAACUGUUAUCUUCAUCAUUCCAAGGAUUCACCAGACGUGCAUGUGAGGAUGGUUUUUGCCAGGAAAAUUCUUUCAAAGUGAUUGGAGGUAUGGAUGCAUGUGCGCCUAAAGGCUGGAUUUAUGCUCUUUAGAGUUUAGAUAUCUUGACAUGAAACCACAGUUACCUAUUUGACCAAAGGUGAACUGAGAAAAUAAAGCAACUAAAAUAGCUCCAAGAACUGCAACUUUUCUCCAAUCAGAUGAAGAGAUGAAAGAGUCUGCAAUUUCAAUGACUAG